Molecule: ribosomal RNA, 497 nt
Filed under: uncultured bacterium
Lineage: Bacteria
Description: partial 16S ribosomal RNA
Rfam family: Bacterial small subunit ribosomal RNA
Source: RNAcentral
GAUGAACGCUGGCGGCGUGCCUAAUACAUGCAAGUCGAGCGAACGGACGAGAAGCUUGCUUCUCUGAUGUUAGCGUCGGACGGGUGAGUAACACGUGGAUAACCUACCUAUAAGACUGGGAUAACUUCGGGAAACCGGAGCUAAUACCGGAUGAUAUUUUGAACCGCAUGGUUCAAAAGUGAAAGACGGUCUUGCUGUCACUUAUAGAUGGAUCCGCGCUGCAUUAGCUAGUUGGUAAGGUAACGGCUUACCAAGGCAACGAUGCAUAGCCGACCUGAGAGGUUGAUCGGCCACACUGGAACUGAGACACGGUCCAGACUCCUACGGGAGGCAGCAGUAGGGAAUCUUCCGCAAUGGGCGAAAGCCUGACGGAGCAACGCCGCGUGAGUGAUGAAGGUCUUCGGAUCGUAAAACUCUGUUAUUAGGGAAGAACAUAUGUGUAAGUACCUGUGCACAUCUUGACGGUACCUAAUCAGAAAGCCACGGCUAACUACGUG